UAAGGUAUAAUAUUUGUUGAUUUUCUUCCAUUAUGUCAUACCAAAGCUCUGAUAUAGUGUGCAAAGCAAUCUCCAAUACAGAAGAUGGAGAUCAGAUGUAUGCAUCAGAGUUCUUGAAUAGUUUGAAAUUCUCCGGAACACCAGACCACAUAUUACGGCUGAAAGUCGGCCAACCAAUAAUGCUCUUGCGAAAUAUCAAUAGCACAAGAUUAACUAUAACACAACUAGGAAAGUGGUUCAUAGAAGCUCAAAUAAUAACAGGGACAAACAUUGGAAAUAAGGUAACAUUCACGAAUAAUUAUGUCACCAUAUGAAUCAAAAUGGCUGUUUGUAUUGAAGAGAAGGUAGUACUCAAUAUCAGUUUGUUUUGCAAUGACGAUAAAUAUGGAAAAUCAUUAGAAUAUGUUGGAAUAUAUUUUCCAAAGCAGGUGUUCACACACGGCCAACUCUAUGUAGCGGUGUCCCGAGUCACAUGUAGAGAUGCACUUAAGGAUCUCAUGUUUCAGUGAAGAAUCCCAACAAAAUGAUAUGAAAAAAAAUAUUGUGUACAAAGAGAUACUUCACUUCAAGAGAACUUAGAAUAUUUGUAUUGUACUCUAUGUAACACUCAGGUAUGUACAUUGAUAUGUUUUUUAAGCAGCAACAUUAUAAACUUCAUUUCAUUGCUACCUUACGCGGAAGCUUUAGUUAAUAUUUUUUUAAGACCAAUAGGAUCACAACGACAUUGUUGGAGCGCUGCGUGACGUCAGGGAUGCAACCAACAUGAUUUAAACUAUAGAGGCACAAAGAAAAGGAGGCAAAAGGUUUGGAUGACGCCAAGAUGAUUCCAUGCCAGCUGAAGGCCCUAUAUCUUCUGUCGGCGGCAUGAUUGUCCAGGAUGUCAAUAGCUCAAUCGGCAACCUCAACAUCAGCCUGCACAGCGGCUUCGCCAAUCUUUUUGAGGUCGACGAGAGCCGCAGCCAAAUCCGCAUCAGGCCCAUGGUCCUCCAUCUGUGAAUCACGGUUGGAGUAGAGCUGACGGCAGCAGUCGUUGUACGACCGAGGGGAGAAGCUGGACGAACUCAGGAAUAGAGAUGGCCCAAAAGCAGGAGGUCGAGUUCCUGGUGCGAGCCGCCACGAAACCUCGACGCCGGCGAACUGCAAAAUCCAGCAGAGAAUGGCAACAAGCAAGCCUUCACAACUGCUCCUCCUCAAAUCUCCUUGGCGACUGCGCUACAUCCAGAUCCAACUCUGGUAUUGGGGAUAGCUCAUAGUAGUAGUUGCUUAAAAAAAAAAACUAUACAUAAGCCAGGGAAUAUGAAUACCAGGUGUCGGUGCGUGUGUACCCUACUAGGGACAAGUAGAAACGACUGAAUGGAUAAUAUUACCAGCAGAUACAAGUGCAUCCAUGCU
This is a long non-coding RNA of Lolium perenne, 1392 nucleotides long. RefSeq lists it as uncharacterized. The record is from RefSeq and is a predicted model, not a curated record. Lineage: Eukaryota; Viridiplantae; Streptophyta; Magnoliopsida; Poales; Poaceae.